GUGCAGAUGAUGGAAACUUUUUGGAACUGAGCGAGCUGAUGCGUUCAAAGGAACCACUGAUGCAC
This is a small nucleolar RNA of Varanus komodoensis (Komodo dragon), 65 nucleotides long. Its record names the gene SNORD42. It matches the Rfam family "Small nucleolar RNA SNORD42". Rfam says of the family: snoRNA U42 is found in intron 3 of the ribosomal protein L23a (RPL23a) gene in humans and is also present in mice. U42 is a member of the C/D class of snoRNA which contain C (UGAUGA) and D (CUGA) box motifs. Most of the members of the box C/D family function in directing site-specific 2'-O-methylation of substrate RNAs. NCBI's taxonomy places the organism in Eukaryota, Metazoa, Chordata, Lepidosauria, Squamata, Varanidae. The record is from Ensembl.